This 184-nucleotide unclassified non-coding RNA is filed under the name uncultured Ascomycota. RNAcentral's name for it is "sequence contains ITS1". Lineage: Eukaryota; Fungi; Ascomycota. The record is from RNAcentral.
CCGAGUUAUUACUCCAAACCCAUUGUGAAUCUUACCUUCUGUUCUGUUGUCUCGGCGGCGGUCCGCAGGCCUCCUACCCCUGUGAAUGGGGGAAAAAUAGGGGACCGGCUCCCCGCCGGCAGCACCAAACUCUUGGAUUUAUAGCGGAUUACAAAUCUCUGAUUAUAAGCAAGAAAAUGAAUCA